ACUACGGCGUGGUCCGCCGCCACAACCGCAUGAUGAAGAACCGCGAGUCCGCCUCCCGCUCGCGCGCCAGGAAGCAGGCCUACGUCAACGAGCUCGAAGUGGAAAUCUCGCAGCUUCAGGAGGAGAAUUCCCGGCUAAAGAAGGAACUCAAGAAGCUACACAAGGUGAUGGCCUCCAAGCAACAAUUCCCCUCAAAGAACAAGCUGCAGAGGAGCUCAACUGCAUCAUUCUGAACAACUCUGCAACCAUUCCCAAAUGUUAGAUAUUUUAAUCAUCACUCGUUCCGAUCGAAGAAGAACUCGCCCAAUGUGAAUGUGAAUGUGAAUGUGAAUAUGAACACGCAGAGCACCUAAAUAUAUAUAUAUAUAUAUAUAUAUAUAUAUGUUUGUAUAAUGAUUAAUGAUUGAAGCCCUGGUCUGGUCCGGAGGAGGAAGAGCUUGUGUGUUUGAAGAUAUGUUGCAGGAAUGGCAACGGCCGGGCCAUGGGAGGCUGCCGAUGACGGUACGUAGCCUGAGAAAAGGCAAGCUGAUAAUGCGUAUAUGGAGUGAUGGGACGUGACGUGACGUAGUUACAUGGAUUCUAGUACUGUUCCUCUUUGUAGGGUUCUUGCUUUGUCUCUCGGUUAUUUAGGCAUUAUGAUCUCUAUAAUUAUAUUAUAAUAUGCUUCGAUGGUCGGAAUAAUUACUUUAUUUCUAUUUAUCAUUUUUAUUGCAGUA
Molecule: long non-coding RNA, 716 nt
Organism: Zingiber officinale
Lineage: Eukaryota; Viridiplantae; Streptophyta; Magnoliopsida; Zingiberales; Zingiberaceae
Exons: 3
Source: RefSeq, a predicted model, not a curated record